UACUCUGGUUUCUUUUAAGAUCAUAUGAGUCUUUUGCCUUUUACUAAAGAUUUCUGUGGAGAGGAACAAUUCUGGGGAAAAACAAAC
Molecule: small nuclear RNA, 87 nt
Organism: Marmota marmota marmota (Alpine marmot)
Lineage: Eukaryota; Metazoa; Chordata; Mammalia; Rodentia; Sciuridae
Gene: U5
Rfam family: U5 spliceosomal RNA
About the family: U5 RNA is a component of both types of known spliceosome. The precise function of this molecule is unknown, though it is known that the 5' loop is required for splice site selection and p220 binding, and that both the 3' stem-loop and the Sm site are important for Sm protein binding and cap methylation.
Source: Ensembl